CAUCCGACAAGAAAUCAAUUUUUACUCCACUUUUCGGUAAAUUUCUCCGUUUUAUCUAAACAGUUCCGGUCAAAAAGUAUUUUGAAAUUAGCACGAUCAAGUGAGUCAAGUUUAUGUUCGUCAAACUGAGCAGAGGAAAUGUCUCCAAGCUGGCGUUGUUGAGUAAGACCAUCAAGCAAGCUGCCUUGACACUUCUGUCAACUUCCUGUGUACAGAUCAAUUAACGUAGGCAGAGCGUCAGAUCUUCAAUCAUGAUGGCUGGCUGUCCAUCACACUCAGCAGAGAUGUGUCAAUCAAUCAAUGUUGAAGCAUCGCACAGUGGCAAGCUCACAUCUAAAGAUCAAGUGAACCAAGUCUCUGUUCGUCAAACUGAGUAGAGGAAAUGUCUCCAAGCUAUCGUUGUUGAAGCUCUGGAGACCGUCAAGCAAGCUGCCUUGACAACCCGGUCAACUUCCUGUGCACAGCUCAUCAACUAAUCCAGAAAUAUCCCUCCACUGAGUGAGAAAAUUAAGGAGAUUCGGUUGCUCUUUGCUGAUUACUGCUGCCUAUGACACCCAGAGCUGCCAGCCAAUAAAGUCAUGGUGUGGGAGCCAACCCAAGGCAGAUCUGUGCCAUCCCGGAAGACCACCAAGACCAUGCUCAAACAUGGGGCAACGAGACAACUUGGCAAGACCAUGCUCAAACAUGGGGCAACGAGACAACUUGGGUCGACUGAGUGAGUGAGAAAUCCAGACAGAGAGUGUCCAACCGAUCAUCGCCUCGAGCAGUCAUCAAACCCUUGUGCAGAUCAAAAUCCAGACAGAGAGUGUCGGAUCUUGCAAGGAGUCAGCGACCAUCACUGGUAGAGAUGCACAACCUCUUUGUAUACUUUGUAAUUAUUUGUGUAUUAUAGGAAUGUAAUUAUAAUUAAUUGUGUGGUGAAUCACUCACACUUUUUGUUGUGUGGUGAACUGCUUACACUUUUUGUUGU
Asterias rubens (European starfish) is the source of this 970-nucleotide long non-coding RNA. RefSeq lists it as uncharacterized. The transcript has 6 exons. The record is from RefSeq and is a predicted model, not a curated record. NCBI's taxonomy places the organism in Eukaryota, Metazoa, Echinodermata, Asteroidea, Forcipulatida, Asteriidae.